CACGUAGGGCGCAAGCGUUGUCCGGAAUUAUUGGGCGUAAAGAGCUCGUAGGCGGUCUGUUGCGUCCGCUGUGAAAACCCGGGGCUUAACCCUGGGCUGGCAGUGGAUACGGACAGACUAGAGGUAGGUAGGGGAGAAUGGAAUUCCCGGUGUAGCGGUGAAAUGCGCAGAUAUCGGGAGGAACACCGGUGGCGAAGGCGGUUCUCUGGGCCGAUAUCGACGCUGAGGAGCGAAAGCGUGGGGAGCGAACAGG
Molecule: ribosomal RNA, 253 nt
Filed under: uncultured bacterium
Lineage: Bacteria
Description: partial 16S ribosomal RNA
Rfam family: Bacterial small subunit ribosomal RNA
Source: RNAcentral